CGAAGGGGGCUAGCGUUGUUCGGAAUUACUGGGCGUAAAGCGUUUGUAGGCGGUUAUACAAGUCAGUGGUGAAAGCCCAGGGCUUAACCCUGGAAUUGCCAUUGAAACUGUAUAGCUAGAGAAUGUUAGAGGAAAGUGGAAUUCCUAGUGUAGGAGUGAAAUCCGUAGAGAUUAGGAGGAAUAUCGAUGGCGAAGGCAGCUUUCUGGGACAUUUCUGACGCUGAGAAACGAAAGCGUGGGUAGCAAACAGGAUUAGAUACCCUGGUAGUCCACGCCCUAAACGAUGGGUGCUAGACGUCGGAACAUUAAUUUCGGUGUCGCAGCUAACGCGUUAAGCACCCCGCCUGGGGAGUACGGUCGCAAGAUUA
RNAcentral lists this ribosomal RNA (368 nucleotides) under uncultured organism. RNAcentral's name for it is "bacterial SSU rRNA". It matches the Rfam family "Bacterial small subunit ribosomal RNA", at positions 526 to 896 of the family's 1533-position model. The record is from RNAcentral.